Molecule: ribosomal RNA, 303 nt
Filed under: Triticum aestivum (bread wheat)
Lineage: Eukaryota; Viridiplantae; Streptophyta; Magnoliopsida; Poales; Poaceae
Description: partial small subunit ribosomal RNA
Source: RNAcentral
AUGCAAGAUUCUAUUCUGUCAACAGGCUUUGAUGUGUCAUCAGCAGCUCUAUUGCAAGUCUCUAGCAUGGACUUGCCCCAGUUCCUUCGGUUCAGAUGUCGUUUCCUAAUUGCUAGAGCUGCAAGGGUACAUAUUUACUUCCUUAUCAUCCUUGAGUCAUGUUAUCUGCGAGGGUACUUAAUUGCUUACGUUUUUGCAAUUUCUAUUUUUGAACCUUUAUAUCUAAUCCUCUCUUUAAUUUUCAGUCAGCUAUUUAUUUUCUUACGCAUGAAAGAACUUUUCUUAAUGCGUGGGUGUUUAUAG